RNAcentral lists this ribosomal RNA (253 nucleotides) under uncultured bacterium. Its description in RNAcentral is "partial 16S ribosomal RNA". It matches the Rfam family "Bacterial small subunit ribosomal RNA", at positions 524 to 776 of the family's 1533-position model. The record is from RNAcentral.
UACGGGGGGGGCAAGCGUUGUUCGGAAUUACUGGGCGUAAAGGGCGCGUAGGCGGCCUGCUAAGUCGGACGUGAAAUCCCUCGGCUCAACCGAGGAACUGCGUCCGAUACUGGCGGGCUCGAAUCCGGGAGAGGGAUGUGGAAUUCCAGGUGUAGCGGUGAAAUGCGUAGAUAUCUGGAGGAACACCGGUGGCGAAGGCGGCAUCCUGGACCGGUAUUGACGCUGAGGCGCGAAAGCCAGGGGAGCAAACGGG